RNAcentral lists this long non-coding RNA (3680 nucleotides) under Trifolium pratense (red clover). RNAcentral describes it as "long non-coding RNA (TPRA_LNC004019)". Lineage: Eukaryota; Viridiplantae; Streptophyta; Magnoliopsida; Fabales; Fabaceae. The record is from RNAcentral.
UUCUUUCUUUCUUCUUCAAUUCAAGAAACGAAUGAAACAAAAAACGCACACAUUGUGGAGUGCGAGCGACACAUCCAUUCUUUGUUCUUCAAUAAUCGAAUGAAACAAAAACCUCUAUGUGAGGAUGUUCGGUGGUUCGCUCAAUCAUCUUUAUUAUUUGCAACAUCAACAAACAACAUUCAAUUUUCUGCUUGAAAAAAGGUACAACUUUACCCAUUUUUUUCUCAUUCUUUAUCAUUCAAGAAAAUUCAAUCUUCUGCUUGAGAAAAAGAAAAGAACUUUAAUUGUGCAAAAUGUGUUCUGUUCUGUCCCAAAAAAACCUUAAAAGACAGUUUUUUUUUUGAUUGUCACGAUAAAGGAGUUUCGUUUCACUCGUGUUUGGAAUUUUCAUUCUAACAUAUUUGCCCCUUUCACUCGUGUUUGGAAUUUUCAUUAUAACAUAUUUUCCCUAUUUGGUUUAUAAUCCAUACUUGUUAGGAACAAUGGUGGGUUUCAUGUAACCCUAAAUUUUCAUUUUGUGAAGGAAUCUGUUUUCAUUAUCUGAAAAAGGGGUGGAGUAUAUUGCCCUAGUAACCCUAAAUUUGACCGUCGGAAUCAAUGAAUAUAUAUACUUUGUUAUUUAAAUUUUGUAACAGAUGGAUCAUAGAUGCCCCAAUGACCCUAGUCCCUGAAUGUGAAAUCUAGUUGUUGCCUAUUUGAAAAUCUAUAUGUACUUUGUUAUAUAAAUUUUGUAACAGAUGGAUCAUCAAUGACCGUAGUCCCUGAAUGUGAAAUCUAGUUGUUGCCUAUUUGACCAUUGGAAUUGAUGAAUAUAUAUACUUUGUUAUAUAAAUUUUGUAACGGAUGGAUCAUAGAUGCCUUAAUGACCCAGUCCCUGUAUGUGAAAUCUCGUUGUUGCCUUAAUUGCUACUCAAGCAAUUGUCACUAUCGGUGUCCGCUUUUCUAUUAAAAAAAAUUAUGAAUUUAUAUUCAUAAUGCAUGAAUGGGUAUAUAUUCAGCUUUGAAGACCCUUAGUCCCUAAAAUUUGAUUCUGCAACUACAAUUAGAAGUGAUUGCAUUAUGAACAACAUUCAAUCUUGUGCUUCAUAAAAACAAAACAAAAGAACCUUAAUUGAGCAAAGGUGUUCUUUUUGUCCCAUGACCCUUUUGUUUGUUUGGCACCAAUUUUUGAAAGAUUAACUUUUUCGUUUGGUCAGGUAAAUUUUGGAACAUUCAUUUCAAUAUAUUUGCAUUCAUGAAUCAUAUAUGUUGAGAUACCCAUUUUUUCAUUUUUUCAAGAACAUUCAAUCUUUUGCUUGAAAAAGAGGUAUAACUUUACCCAUUUUUCUGGUUCGUGAUCAUUGAAGAAAAUUCAAUCUUCUGAUGAGAAAAAUAAAAAGAACUUAAUUGUUCAAAAAGUGUUAUGAUGCGAAAGCUAUAGUUGUUGCCUUAAUUUCUACUCAAGCAAUUUUCUCUAUCGGUGUGCGCUUUUCUAUUAAAAAAAUUAUGAUGAAUUUUGCAUGAAUGGGUAUAUAGUCUGCUUUUCUUUGGAGUAUAAACUAUUUCUUAUAAUAUCUAUCUGUUAUGUAUGACAUUAUGCAGACAACCAAUGAGAUAUAAGGAUGCUUGCAAUGUGAUCAAUGGAGGAAACCAUAAUGAGGUUGUAUCUGAUAACAUUCGGUGGGUGUUGGCAUAAUUAAGCAUCAGUCAGAUAGCACUAGAUUUGUGUUGAUAUUUAAUAAUGUAAGUCUUGAAUUUACUAACUGAAAAAAGGUAGAACCUUACCCAUUUUUAUUAUUCUUGAUCAUUCAAUAAGAUUCAAUCUUCUGCUUAAUAAAUACCAAACCUUUUGUUGCUUGAGCAUAGCAGUGUUCAUCAUGCUAAUGAGGUGGUUAACUCCCAAUGUUCGACCGGGAUUUGGAAACCAAAAUCUCAUGGAACUGUUCUUGGAGGGAAGGCUGAUUCAGAUGUGGCUUCAUGCAACCUUUUGAAAAUGAAAAGUCAGAUCAAGAGGUAUAUGAUUCUUAUCUCAGUUUCUUAUGUUUUGAUUUCAUGAGUGGAUGUAUCAAUUUUCCUAUUUUAUAUAUUUUUUUCUUCAUAAUAAUUGUUUGAGUUUCAAUUUAUUAGAUAAAUCAAACACAAUUUUUUCAAGAACAUUCAAAAGAAACUCAUAUAUGCUCUCUGCUGAAAGAUAAACUUUGUUUGCUAUGGAAAUGUUUUAUUUUCAUUCCACAUAUUUCCAUUGAUGCAUGCUCAGAUACCCAUAUUCUAAUUCUUGAUAACUCAACAACAUUCAAUCUUCUACUUGAUUGAAACAAAAUAACCUUACUAAUUGGGCAAAAGGUGUUUUGUUCUAAGACCCUGUUUAGUACCAAUAUUUUGAAAGAUGAAACUUAAUGACAAACAAUUUAAACAAGGCAUGAUAUACUUUGUCUUGGUAGCCCAAAAAUGUUGGAUGAUGCCUUAAUGUGAAAGCUAGUUGUUGCCUAAAAUGCAAUUUUAACAUAAGGCAUGGAUAUUAUCUAUUAUGCUUUGUGGACCCUAGUCCCUAAAUGCAAUUUUGCAACUACAAUAUGAAGUAAUUUUGCAAAUGUAAAAGGAAGUGCGCCCUUGUGUUUGAUUAGCGUACUAAUAAGGGUUUCAUAGGAAUUGUCUAAUGAAGAAACGAAUCAACUGAAGCAAAGUAGAAAGUAACCAACUCUUUGGAGUCUAAACUAUUUCUUAUAAUAUCUAUCUAGUAUAUAUGGAAUUUUGCAGAGAAAGUAUGCCAUAUAAGGAUGAUUGCAUUGUGAUCAAUGAGGGAAACCAUAACGAGGUUGUAUUUGUUAGUCAUUUUUUCUGCAGACCUAUUGUGAAAUCUGAUAAAAUUUGGUGGAUGUUGGUAUAAAAAUCAUAUAUCACUAGCUAUGUGUUGAUAAUUAUAAAUGUAAGUCUUGGAUUUAGUAACUUAAAAAAGACAGAACCUUACCCAUUUUUAUCAUUCCUGAUCAUUUAAUAAGAUUCAAUCUUCUGCUUGAUAAAUACAAAAUGUUUUAUUGCUGAAAAUAGUGGUAUCCAGGUCCAGCAUGCUAAUAAGGUGGCAAGUUCCCGAAGGUUCAACGGCGAAACUGAAAUCUCAUGGAUCUGUUAGUGGAGGACUGUAACUGAAGUUUAAAGCAUGCUGGUGUAGGGAUUGUUGAUGGUUCAGGUAUUGGUGUUGAUGUGGCUUCAUCCACGAAUCAGAACAACUUUGAAAUUGAAAAGUCAGCUCAAGAGGUAUAUGAUUCCAGUCUCAUUUUUUUUAUGUUUUGAUUUCAUAAGUGAUGGUUAUAUUAUUGAAUUUUUUCUUCAUAAUAAUUGUUCGAGUCUCAGACUUAUGGGAUAUUAGACAAUCAAACACAAUUAUUGCAAGAACAUUCAAAAGAAAUUGAUAUAUGUCCCAAGAACUUUCAAUCUUCUGCUUAUUGGAAAUUUCACUCCAAAAUAUUUGCCCCGUUUGGUUUAUAAUCAACACCUAUUGGGAACGAUGAUGGGUUGUUACUUUUUUCAUUCUUGAGUAUCCAGGAACUUUCAAUCUUCUGCUUCGGAAAAAAAUGAACCUUCAAUUUUUGUGAGAUUAUAUGUGUUGAUGCCCAAAAAUAUUGGAUGAACUUAAUGUCCAUAGUCCUUGAAUGUGAAAACUAGUUGUUGUCUUAAUUGCCACUCAAGAUGUUAUCUCUGUC